RNAcentral lists this ribosomal RNA (448 nucleotides) under uncultured bacterium. RNAcentral describes it as "SSU rRNA". It matches the Rfam family "Bacterial small subunit ribosomal RNA", at positions 26 to 518 of the family's 1533-position model. The record is from RNAcentral.
AGAGCGAACGCUGGCGGCAGGCCUAACACAUGCAAGUCGAGCGCCCGUAGCAAUACGGGAGCGGCAGACGGGAUAGUAACACGUGGGAACGCGCCCUUCGGUUCGGAAUAACUCAGGGAAACUUGAGCUAAUACCGGAUACGCCCUUACGGGGAAAGAUUUAUUGCCGAAGGAACGGCCCGCGUCCGAUUAGCUAGUUGGUGAGGUAAUGGCUCACCAAGGCGACGAUCGGUAGCUGGUCUGAGAGGAUGACCAGCAUCACUGGGACUGAGACACGGCCCAGACUCCUACGGGAGGCAGCAGUGGGGAAUAUUGGACAAUGGGCGCAAGCCUGAUCCAGCAAUGCCGCGUGGAUGAAGAAGGUUUUCGGAUUGUAAAGUCCUUUCGGCGGGGACGAUGAUGACGGUACCCGCAGAAGAAGCCCCGGCUAACUUCGUGCCAGCAGCCGC